UACGUAGGGGGCAAGCGUUGUCCGGAAUGACUGGGCGUAAAGGGAGUGUAGGCGGUUUUUUAAGUUAAAUGUGAAAGCCCGGGGCUUAACUCCGGAACUGCAUUUAAUACUGGAUGACUAGAGUGUGGGAGAGGUAAGUGGAAUUCCUAGUGUAGCGGUGGAAUGCGUAGAUAUUAGGAGGAACAUCAGUGGCGAAGGCGACUUACUGGAACAUAACUGACGCUGAGGCUCGAAAGCGUGGGGAGCAAAC
Molecule: ribosomal RNA, 250 nt
Filed under: uncultured prokaryote
Description: partial 16S ribosomal RNA
Rfam family: Bacterial small subunit ribosomal RNA
Source: RNAcentral